CAGUCGCCGCGGUAAUACGUAGGGUGCAAGCGUUAAUCGGAAUUACUGGGCGUAAAGCGUGCGCAGGCGGUUUUGUAAGACAGAGGUGAAAUCCCCGGGCUCAACCUGGGAACUGCCUUUGUGACUGCAAGGCUAGAGUACGGCAGAGGGGGAUGGAAUUCCGCGUGUAGCAGUGAAAUGCGUAGAUAUGCGGAGGAACACCGAUGGCGAAGGCAAUCCCCUGGGCCUGUACUGACGCUCAUGCACGAAAGCGUGGGGAGCAAACAGGAUUAGAUCCCCAGUAGUCCCUGUCUCUUAUACA
Molecule: ribosomal RNA, 301 nt
Filed under: uncultured bacterium
Lineage: Bacteria
Description: partial 16S ribosomal RNA
Rfam family: Bacterial small subunit ribosomal RNA
Source: RNAcentral